AUUGAACGCUGGCGGCAGGCCUAACACAUGCAAGUCGAACGAGUGGCGGACGGGUGAGUAAUGUCUGGGGAUCUGCCUGAUGGAGGGGGAUAACUACUGGAAACGGUAGCUAAUACCGCAUACCAUCGGAUGAGCCCAUAUGGGCUUAGCUAGUAGGUAGGGUAACGGCUUACCUAGGCGACGAUCCCUAGCUGGUCUGAGAGGAUGAUCAGCCACACUGGAACUGAGACACGGCCCAGACUCCUACGGGAGGCAGCAGUGGGGAAUAUUGCACAAUGGGCGCAAGCCUGAUGCAGCCAUGCCGCGUGUAUGAAGAAGGCCUUCGGGUUGUAAAGUACUUUCAGUGGGGAGGCGUUACCGACAGAAGAAGCACCGGCUAACUCCGUGCCAGCAGCCGCGGUAAUUC
RNAcentral lists this ribosomal RNA (406 nucleotides) under uncultured bacterium. RNAcentral describes it as "partial 16S ribosomal RNA". It matches the Rfam family "Bacterial small subunit ribosomal RNA", at positions 30 to 526 of the family's 1533-position model. The record is from RNAcentral.